AGGCAGUGAGGAGCAAAAUUAUACCAUCAAACUAUGAAAGCUUUCGAGCUUGUUGAUGCCAUCAAUUAACUCUGAGCCU
Molecule: small nucleolar RNA, 79 nt
Organism: Rhododendron vialii
Lineage: Eukaryota; Viridiplantae; Streptophyta; Magnoliopsida; Ericales; Ericaceae
Product: small nucleolar RNA snoR116
Exons: 1
Source: RefSeq, a predicted model, not a curated record